RNAcentral lists this unclassified non-coding RNA (345 nucleotides) under soil metagenome. Its description in RNAcentral is "partial contains 5.8S ribosomal RNA, internal transcribed spacer 2, and large subunit ribosomal RNA". The stretch from base 1 to 120 matches the Rfam family "5.8S ribosomal RNA", at positions 35 to 154 of the family's 154-position model. The record is from RNAcentral.
GAUGAAGAACGCAGUGAAAUGCGAUACGUAAUGUGAAUUGCAGAAUUCAGUGAAUCAUCGAGUCUUUGAACGCACAUUGCGCCCCCUGGUAUUCCGGGGGGCAUGCCUGUCCGAGCGUCAUAGCUGCCCUCAAGCACGGCUUGUGUGUUGGGCCUCCGUCCUCCUCCCGGGGGACGGGCCCGAAAGGCAGCGGCGGCACCGCGUCCGGUCCUCGAGCGUAUGGGGCUUCGUCACCCGCUCUUGUAGGCCCGGCCGGCGCUUGCCGACACAUCAAUCUUUUUUCCAGGUUGACCUCGGAUCAGGUAGGGAUACCCGCUGAACUUAAGCAUAUCAAUAAGCGGAGGA